This 23-nucleotide small nuclear RNA is filed under the name Arabidopsis thaliana (thale cress). RNAcentral describes it as "snRNA_12954". The record is from RNAcentral. Lineage: Eukaryota; Viridiplantae; Streptophyta; Magnoliopsida; Brassicales; Brassicaceae.
UUGUGACACAUGUCCAAAUUUAA